This 1219-nucleotide long non-coding RNA is filed under the name Gossypium raimondii (Peruvian cotton). Its description in RNAcentral is "long non-coding RNA (GRAI_LNC008432)". Lineage: Eukaryota; Viridiplantae; Streptophyta; Magnoliopsida; Malvales; Malvaceae. The record is from RNAcentral.
UCGAUUGAAGAGUGGAGUAAGAAAUCUCUCGAUUGGGGUAACAAGGAUCGCCACUUGUAAAGGAAAAUAAAUCGAAUAGCUUCGAUUGAAUAAAAGAAAUCUUAGAUCAAAAUCAAUUCCAAGAGAAAAGAACAAAAUGUUUAAGAAAAUAAAAGAAAACUAAGUCUAAAUCCUACUCCUAAUCUACGAAGGUUUUUGGAUGCAUCUAAGACGACUUAGUUACAUCAAACCCUUAAGGUUUUAUUUAUAGAAGUAUUAGCAGGCUGAAUUAGGCCUUCAGUACAUCCUAGGUCUUCUCAUAAAGUUGAUUGUGCGAACGAAAAUAGUCUUGAAAUGCUUGGGCUCCACGUUGGUCCUAUGUCGUGCCAUACAUAAGCUAUGGCGUGACAUGACAUGCAUUUUAUGGGCUUGGAAAUCCUUGUCAUGCUUUCGCGCCUUGGAAAGUUUAUACAUCACUCGUCUCAAAUCCCCACAUUCAUUUGGCCCUAAAUUCAGUGUCCUACACACUCAAUUACACAAAUUAGAACUACCUUAGGCCCGUGUCGGCCUAAUAGGUCACUGACAUUCAAAACUGUGUAAAAACACUUGUUUUAUUAAUAUUUAAUACUAAACUACUAAAUACUGAAAAUGAAAUAAUUAAUACUAAAAUACCUGGAAAACAAGCUUCUUAAAUGUCGAAACGUAUCUAAACUAGCACUACAAUUAGCAGCAGGUCAGCCAUCAAGUUACAAGGGUGGGCAAUUUGUAGGUAAUAUUGGUUUUAACAUAGGGUUGACGAGAACGAAUAAUAUACUCUUUACAACUUGUACUAGCGAAGGGACAUUCAACCCUAGCCAUACAACUAGGGUUGAUAACGAAGAGGAAGUUGAGAAUGAAGAGAGAAAAGAGAACAAAGAGGGAGUUGAGAAUGAAGAGGAAUCUGAAACUGAUGAUGAUUCAAUCCGGGAAUCUGGGUCGAAUGGUUCAAAAAUUGCAUUAUUUUUUGAACCAGAGGUCACUCCUAUUGAAAGGAGUGAUUCUGACGGUAAAGGUUCGGACAAUACUAGAGGAACCAAAUUUUACGAUAUAUGCACCUCCACCCACAUGCUUAAUGUCGACCUUGAUGUUAAGAGGAUUUCCAAAACUUCCUUAUAAAAGAUUAGGUUACCCAAGUUCUUCUACAAAAUUCGACGAUUUACAAGUUGGAAUGGGGUUUUCCUCUAAAGAUGCUUUUGUUGCU